This 321-nucleotide long non-coding RNA is filed under the name Nicotiana benthamiana. RNAcentral's name for it is "long non-coding RNA (NBEN_LNC026659)". The record is from RNAcentral. Lineage: Eukaryota; Viridiplantae; Streptophyta; Magnoliopsida; Solanales; Solanaceae.
GGACUUUGAAAUGGGUUCCAAAAGAUAAGAAGGAAGAUGAGGUAGACCAACAAGGUAGGCAAGCUGGGGACAAUAAACAAACAACUGAGAAUGCAAAAGGCAGGGUUGUGGAUAAGGGGAAAACAAAAGGAAAAAAGUGUACAACAAAGUGCAGGAGCUUUGGUGAACACGACUAACAGAUUCUCUCUACUGCAGCUAGGUGAAGAUCCAGGGGAUGCUGGCCCAUCCAACUUCACCUCUAAAUGAUAUUCUGCACUAACAGAUUCUCUCUACUGCAUCUAGGUGAAGAUCCAGGGGACGCUGGCCCAUCCAGCUUCACCU